Molecule: small RNA, 872 nt
Filed under: Pan troglodytes (chimpanzee)
Lineage: Eukaryota; Metazoa; Chordata; Mammalia; Primates; Hominidae
Description: retained intron
Source: RNAcentral
CCAUGGAUCCGCUGUCGCCGCCGCUCUGCACGCUGCCGCCGGGCCCCGAGCCGCCCCGCUUCGUGUGCUACUGCGAAGGGGAGGAAAGCGGGGAGGGGGACCGCGGCGGCUUCAACCUCUAGUGAGUGGGGGUCCGCGGGGAGGUAGGGGUGCAGGGAGCUCCGCGGGCGGCCCCGCCUGACAGGCCUUCUCCCCCAGCGUGACCGACGCCGCGGAGCUUUGGAGCACCUGCUUCACACCGGACAGCCUGGCGGCCCUCGUGGGUAACUGGGCGGGUCUGGGAGCCGCCACACCCCUCCUUGCAGUGCAGAUCGUCUAUGGGGUGACAGACAUCUGGGAUUCCCCAGAAGGCUCUGACACCCUCUGCCCGCCCUGUAGCUGUAGUCCUCACAUUGGCUAGGGCUCUGGGGUCGGGCAGGUUUCGGGUGCUCCCAGUGGGCCUCGGGUUCCAGGCAGCUGGUGACAAGCCCCUGUGCUCUCUAGAAAGCCCGUUUUGGCCUGAGUGCGGCUGAGGACAUCACCCCCCGGUUCAGGUGAGACCCAAGCAGGGAGGAAGGACGGGUGGGGAGGAGGAGGGUCUGCCACAGCUCUCCGCACCUCUCCUCUCCCAGGGCAGCCUGUGAGCAGCAAGCUGUGGCUCUGACUCUGCAGGAGGACAGAGCAUCCCUGACGCUUUCAGGGGGGCCCUCGGCACUGGCCUUUGACCUCUCCAAGGUACCAGGCCCAGAGGCAGCCCCCAGGCUGCAGGCGCUGACACUGGGCCUGGCAAAACGCGUGUGGAGCCUGGAGCGGCGACUGGCAGCUGCAGAAGAGACAGCUGUCAGCCCGAGGAAGAGCCCCGGGCCUGCAGGGCCUCAGCUCUUCUUACCAGG